CAAUUGCAAGUUUCGAUAAUGUAAAACAUAUUUGUGUUUGUCUUCAAGAGUGCAUUGCCGACCAACUUAAACCAGGACUUGUAUAAAAAUGGCAUGGAUCAAGAUCAUAGCAUUGUUGGGACAUAUUCCGAAAUUCUUCGAAAACAUCAGCCAGCAAUAACACAUCAGUUUUAAGGGCUGCUUGGACUCUGAGCAUAGUUGUGAUCAAA
Molecule: long non-coding RNA, 209 nt
Organism: Mya arenaria
Lineage: Eukaryota; Metazoa; Mollusca; Bivalvia; Myida; Myidae
Exons: 3
Source: RefSeq, a predicted model, not a curated record